RNAcentral lists this ribosomal RNA (462 nucleotides) under uncultured Syntrophus sp. RNAcentral's name for it is "bacterial SSU rRNA". It matches the Rfam family "Bacterial small subunit ribosomal RNA", at positions 920 to 1382 of the family's 1533-position model. The record is from RNAcentral. Lineage: Bacteria; Pseudomonadati; Thermodesulfobacteriota; Syntrophia; Syntrophales; Syntrophaceae.
CCCGCACAAGCGGUGGAGCAUGUGGUUUAAUUCGAUGCAACGCGAAGAACCUUACCUGGGCUUGACAUCCCGAGAAUCCCCUGGAAACAGGGAGUGCCUUUCGGGGAACUCGGAGACAGGUGCUGCAUGGCUGUCGUCAGCUCGUGUCGUGAGAUGUUGGGUUAAGUCCCGCAACGAGCGCAACCCUUGUCUUUAAUUGCCAGCAUUCAGUUGGGCACUUUAAAGAGACUGCCGGUGUUAAGCCGGAGGAAGGUGGGGAUGACGUCAAGUCCUCAUGGCCUUUAUGCCCAGGGCUACACACAUGCUACAAUGGGUGGUACAAAGAGAUGCCAACUCGCGAGAGCGCGCCAAUCUCAGAAAGCCAUCCUCAGUUCGGAUUGGAGUCUGCAACUCGACUCCAUGAAGUUGGAAUCGCUAGUAAUCGCGGAUCAGCACGCCGCGGUGAAUACGUUCCCGGGCCUU